UGGAGAGUUUGAUCCUGGCUCAGAUCGAACGCUGGCGGCAUGCCUUACACAUGCAAGUCGAACGGCAGCAUGAUCUAGCUUGCUAGAUUGAUGGCGAGUGGCGAACGGGUGAGUAAUACAUCGGAACGUGCCCUGUAGUGGGGGAUAACUAGUCGAAAGAUUAGCUAAUACCGCAUACGACCUGAGGGUGAAAGUGGGGGACCGCAAGGCCUCAUGCUAUAGGAGCGGCCGAUGUCUGAUUAGCUAGUUGGUGAGGUAAAGGCUCACCAAGGCGACGAUCAGUAGCUGGUCUGAGAGGACGAUCAGCCACACUGGGACUGAGACACGGCCCAGACGUCCUACGGGAGGCAGCAGUGGGGAAUUUUGGGACAAUGGGGGCAACCCUGAUCCAGCAAUGCCGCGUGUGUGAAGAAGGCCUUCGGGUUGUAAAGCACUUUUGUCCGGAAAGAAAUCGCACUUACUAAUAUUAGGUGUGGAUGACGGUACCGGAAGAAUAAGGGCCGGCUAACUACGUGCCAGCAGCCGCGGUAAUACGUAGGGUCCAAGCGUUAAUCGGAAUUACUGGGCGUAAAGCGCACGCAGG
RNAcentral lists this ribosomal RNA (583 nucleotides) under uncultured bacterium OS9F. Its description in RNAcentral is "bacterial SSU rRNA". It matches the Rfam family "Bacterial small subunit ribosomal RNA", at positions 1 to 575 of the family's 1533-position model. The record is from RNAcentral.